GAUAAACGCUGGCGGCGUGCUUAACACAUGCAAGUCGAACGAAGUUUUUCCUUCGGGAGAAACUUAGUGGCGGACGGGUGAGUAACGCGUGGGUAACCUGCCCUGUACAGGGGGACAACAGCUGGAAACGGCUGCUAAUACCGCAUAAGCCCUUAGCACUGCAUGGUGCAUAGGGAAAAGGAGCAAUCCGGUACAGGAUGGACCCGCGUCUGAUUAGCCAGUUGGCAGGGUAACGGCCUACCAAAGCGACGAUCAGUAGCCGAUCUGAGAGGAUGUACGGCCACAUUGAGACUGAGACACGGCCCAGACUCCUACGGGAGGCAGCAGUGGGGAAUAUUGCACAAUGGAGGAAACGCUGAUGCAGCGACGCCGCGUGAGUGAAGAAGUAUUUCGGUAUGUAAAGCUCUAUCAGCAGGGAAGAAAAUGACGGUACCGGACUAAGAAGCACCGGCUAAAUACGU
Molecule: ribosomal RNA, 461 nt
Filed under: uncultured bacterium
Lineage: Bacteria
Description: partial 16S ribosomal RNA
Rfam family: Bacterial small subunit ribosomal RNA
Source: RNAcentral